AAUACAAAAUUAGCCGGGUGUGGUGGCGCACACCUGUAAUCCCAGCUACUCAGGAGGCUAAGGCCAAGAGAAUCGCUUGAACCCGGAAGGCGGAGGUUGCGGUGAGCCGAGAUCGCGCCGUUGCACUCCAGCCUGGGUGACAGAGCAAAACUACGUCUCAAAAACAAACUCCCAUUUAUCCUCUACCCCUUUAACAAAUGCAUGUCUCUCUUUUAUGCACUUUCAAAUGUGUGUGCCGACGCUAAAAAAAAAAAAAAACCCCACCCUGCAGGCUGAGACCCCUGUGGUACGCGCGUCCCCACUGUCUUGAGCACCGGCUGGCGAAGGUGUCUGCAGCGGCGUCUCUGGCCGACAGGGGGCAGCACGGCGCCAGCGUCCUCGCCCAGCGCACUGGCUGCCCGGGCCGGCCCACCGCGUGGUCUGUGGAAUUUGGGGAUGGGAGGUGCUUUUCUUUCUUCUCUUUCUUUCUCUUUUUUCUUUUUUCCUUUCUUUUCUUUCCUUCCUUCCUCCCUCCCUUCUUUCCUUCCUCUCUCCCUCCCUCCCUUCUUUCCUUCCUUCCUUCCUCCCUCCCUCCCUCUUUCUUUUUUAUAACGUUUUUCCUUGGGUCCCUGCUUCCAAACUGUGGGUUAUUUUCUAAUGUCUUAAAGCAAACUAAGCCACGCCUUCACGGAGUCUCUGCACAUAGUACAUGAGCACAGGUGCAGUGUCCUUUCGCCGCCAUCCUCUAAUGACAACGCUUUGUUGAGAAAACGAGGGCGUUAGAGAAAGGAAGAGUGAAGGACAGAGGGCUCUGCUGCCUGGCUGGGAAGGUCUCAGUCACAGCCUGUGAGACGGCCGGCGGGACAUUGUUCAUCCUCAUUCAUUCUUGGAGAAAAAGAGAAACUCAUUGUUUAAAGCAGCUUAUUUAAGAAAUGUUGGUAUUUUCCCCCUAAAAUGUUUGUAUGCUUAAAUGACCUUGAACUGGCCAAGGUACAGCACAGACCCCGCUACUCCCCCCUUGCCCCAGCUUCUUAAAAUACAGCAGGCUCUACUGCACCUAUCACUGUUUCACAGGGUAAAAAUAAAAGCAUUGUCAGGAGCAUUGUUAUGGGAUUAAAGUCUCUCGUUCUGAAAAUAGGUAUGUUCGUUUUGCUUUGAUAGUUAUUUUCCCCUUACUGCCUGGGUUUUACUUUAGCAUUCUUAGAGUAACCAGGGAUGAUGAUAAUAUUUCAUUCCAUCAGCGCCUCUUGCAAUGCUCCUCACCUGAAUAAAAUGCAUGUGCCCUAAUGCCAACAGAAUGAUUUGGGCAAAUUCAGGAAGUUCCCCACAUGCCAUGAAGUGAAAUUCCUCAUGGUGUCUGUCUUCCAGAAGUGACACAUGAAAAACUGGCAAUGAGCACACUGCUCACUAAAUAAGAGGCCAAAGAGAAAAGAAUCUACCGGAAACUCUUCCGGAAUUAAAGAGUCCAGGCUCAUGUUGUGAUAGUGAUUAUUCCUCAUAACCAGUGUUGUGGCGACAACUGACUCACUGGCGGUCGGGUGGACUCCCCCCUUGGUGCGCACAGGCGCCUGCCCCAAGGACAGACACUUCAAAGAUGGCUCUGAACCCAGAUUCUGCAGCUUCCCCCGGGCGGAGAGUUAAGCCACCCCGUGGGCAUGAGUCGUGUUUUUCCUUUGAAGAGAUGUUUCCCAGCUGCAAUGAAUGUGUGGCAUUUGCCAUGACAAAAUAAAACCCUUC
RNAcentral lists this long non-coding RNA (1716 nucleotides) under Homo sapiens (human). RNAcentral describes it as "non-protein coding lnc-IFT88-1:1". Lineage: Eukaryota; Metazoa; Chordata; Mammalia; Primates; Hominidae. The record is from RNAcentral.